Molecule: ribosomal RNA, 253 nt
Filed under: uncultured bacterium
Lineage: Bacteria
Description: partial 16S ribosomal RNA
Rfam family: Bacterial small subunit ribosomal RNA
Source: RNAcentral
UACGGAGGGUGCGAGCGUUAAUCGGAAUUACUGGGCGUAAAGCGCGCGUAGGCGGUUUGCUAAGUCCGCUGUGAAAGCCCUGGGCUUAACCUGGGAACUGCAGUGGAUACUGGCAGGCUAGAGUAUGGUAGAGGAGAGUGGAAUUUCCGGUGUAGCAGUGAAAUGCGUAGAGAUCGGAAGGAACACCAGUGGCGAAGGCGGCUCUCUGGACCAAUACUGACGCUGAGGUGCGAAAGCGUGGGGAGCAAACAGG